GGAUCAUUACACAAUAACAUAUGAAGGCUGUACGCUGCUGCGCCUCCGGGCCAGCUGGCUGAGGCUGGAUUAUUUAUUACCCUUGUCUUUUGCGCACUUGUUGUUUCCUGGGCGGGUUCGCCCGCCUCCAGGACCACACCAUAAACCUUUUUUAUGCAGUUGCAAUCAGCGUCAGUACAACAAAUGUAAAUCAUUUACAACUUUCAACAACGGAUCUCUUGGUUCUGGCAUCGAUGAAGAACGCAGCGAAAUGCGAUACGUAGUGUGAAUUGCAGAAUUCAGUGAAUCAUCGAAUCUUUGAACGCACAUUGCGCCCUUUGGUAUUCCAAAGGGCAUGCCUGUUCGAGCGUCAUUUGUACCCUCAAGCUUUGCUUGGUGUUGGGCGUUUUUGUCUUUGGUUUGCCAAAGACUCGCCUUAAAACGAUUGGCAGCCGGCCUCCUGGUUACGCAGCGCAGCACAUUUUUGCGCUUGCAAUCAGCAAGAGGGCGGCACUCCAUCAAGACUCCUUCUCACGUUUGACCUCGGAUCAGGUAGGGAUACCCGCUGAACUUAAGCAUAUCAAUAAGCGGAGGAAAAGAAACCAACAGGGAUUGCCCUAGUAACGGCGAGUGAAGCGGCAACAGCUCAAAUUUGAAAUCUGGCUCUUUUAGGGUCCGAGUUGUAAUUUGCAGAGGGCGCUUUGGCUUUGGCAGCGGUCCAAGUUCCUUGGAACAGGACGUCACAGAGGGUGAGAAUCCCGUACGUGGUCGCUAGCUAUUGCCGUGUAAAGCCCCUUCGACGAGUCGAGUUGUUUGGGAAUGCAGCUCUAAAUGGGAGGUAAAUUUCUUCUAAAGCUAAAUAUUGGCCAGAGACCGAUAGCGCACAAGUAGAGUGAUCGAAAGAUGAAAAGCACUUUGGAAAGAGAGUCAAACAGCACGUGAAAUUGUUGAAAGGGAAGCGCUUGCAGCCAGACUUGCUUGCAGUUGCUCAUCCGGGCUUUUGCCCGGUGCACUCUUCUGUAGGCAGGCCAGCAUCAGUUUGGGCGGUGGGAUAAAGGUCUCUGACACGUUCCUUCCUUCGGGUUGGCCAUAUAGGGGAGACGUCAUACCACCAGCCUGGACUGAGGUCCGCG
RNAcentral lists this ribosomal RNA (1112 nucleotides) under Dothideomycetes sp. genotype 503. Its description in RNAcentral is "eukaryotic LSU rRNA". The stretch from base 518 to 1112 matches the Rfam family "Eukaryotic large subunit ribosomal RNA", at positions 1 to 599 of the family's 3401-position model. The record is from RNAcentral. Lineage: Eukaryota; Fungi; Ascomycota; Dothideomycetes.